UACGUAGGUGGCGAGCGUUAUCCGGAUUUACUGGGCGUAAAGCGCUUGUAGGUGGUCUUGUAAGUUGGGCGUGAAAACACCGGGCUUAACUCGGUGACGCCGUCCAAUACUGCGAGGCUGGAGGAUGUCAGAGGAAGGUAGAAUUCCUGGUGUAGUGGUGAAAUACGUAGAUAUCAGGAGGAACACCCGUGGCGAAGGCGGCUCACUGGCCCGGUACUGACGCUCAGGUGCGAAAGCGUGGGGAGCAAACAGG
This 253-nucleotide ribosomal RNA is filed under the name uncultured bacterium. RNAcentral describes it as "partial 16S ribosomal RNA". It matches the Rfam family "Bacterial small subunit ribosomal RNA", at positions 524 to 776 of the family's 1533-position model. The record is from RNAcentral.